RNAcentral lists this ribosomal RNA (174 nucleotides) under uncultured bacterium. RNAcentral describes it as "partial 16S ribosomal RNA". It matches the Rfam family "Bacterial small subunit ribosomal RNA", at positions 338 to 524 of the family's 1533-position model. The record is from RNAcentral.
CCUACGGGAGGCAGCAGUGGGGAAUAUUGCACAAUGGGCGCAAGCCUGAUGCAGCGACGCCGCGUGAGGGAUGACGGCCUUCGGGUUGUAAACCUCUUUCAGCAGGGACGAAGCGCAAGUGACUGUACCUGCAGAAGAAGCGCCGGCUAACUACGUGCCAGCAGCCGCGGUAAU